Molecule: ribosomal RNA, 355 nt
Filed under: uncultured Sphingobacteriales bacterium
Lineage: Bacteria; Pseudomonadati; Bacteroidota; Sphingobacteriia; Sphingobacteriales
Description: bacterial SSU rRNA
Rfam family: Bacterial small subunit ribosomal RNA
Source: RNAcentral
CUUUCUGCAAGGUGCUGCAUGGUUGUCGUCAGCUCGUGCCGUGAGGUGUCGGGUUAAGUCCCAUAACGAGCGCAACCCUUAUCGUUAGUUGCCAUCUGGUAAUGCAGGGGACUCUAGCGAACUGCCACCGUAAGGUGAGAGGAAGGUGGGGAUGACGUCAAAUCAGCACGGCCCUUAUGUCCAGGGCUACACACGUGUUACAAUGGUCGGUACAGAGGGCAGCUACCUGGUGACAGGAUGCUAAUCUCGAAAACCGGUCUCAGUUCGGAUCGAAGUCUGCAACUCGACUUCGUGAAGCUGGAUUCGCUAGUAAUCGCGCAUCAGCUAUGGCGCGGUGAAUACGUUCCCGGGCCUU